This 307-nucleotide small RNA is filed under the name Histoplasma ohiense. RNAcentral's name for it is "hypothetical lncRNA". The record is from RNAcentral. Lineage: Eukaryota; Fungi; Ascomycota; Eurotiomycetes; Onygenales; Ajellomycetaceae.
CCCUGCCGCUGCUCACUACGAGCAAUCGCCCUGCUGCUGCUCCCUGCAAGCAAUCGCCCUGCUGUAGCACUUGUGUGCUUUGAUUAUCUCUACCAUGAAUGGCCAUAUGUCAGGCCAGAAGUGGAUGAACAGUCUAUAUAGACUGAGUCUUCUCAAGAGUUGCUAUCUGGAUCCUGUGUCUAUCAUUACUGUGUAUAUAGAGAUUUCUCCAGCAUAGCACAUCCCCAUGCCCUUCAGAAGGCAUUUGAAGUGCAGACAUUGCCUGUGUCUUCUCUGAGAUGCUAAACCAAUACAUACAUACAUACAU